Long non-coding RNA from Rhipicephalus microplus (southern cattle tick), 191 nucleotides. The record is from RefSeq and is a predicted model, not a curated record. NCBI's taxonomy places the organism in Eukaryota, Metazoa, Arthropoda, Arachnida, Ixodida, Ixodidae.
AUGUCCAGAAAGGGCUAUUAUGCCCUGAACGUCAUGAUCGUGUGCAACGCACGGCUGCGCAUCCUUGUCGUGGACCCACGAUUCCCAGGUUCGUGCCACGACUCCUGGGUUUGGGAACACAACCCUUUGCGUUCACGCCUAGCUGCACAGCUGCAGCCUGGCGAAUAUCUGCUUGGAGACGCAGGGUAUCC